Molecule: transfer RNA, 77 nt
Filed under: Christensenellaceae bacterium
Lineage: Bacteria; Bacillati; Bacillota; Clostridia; Christensenellales; Christensenellaceae
Description: tRNA-Asp
Rfam family: tRNA
About the family: Transfer RNA (tRNA) molecules are approximately 80 nucleotides in length. Their secondary structure includes four short double-helical elements and three loops (D, anti-codon, and T loops).
Source: RNAcentral
GGUCUGGUAGCUCAGUUGGUUAGAGCGCUGCCCUGUCACGGCAGAGGUCGAGAGUUCAAAUCUCUUCCAGAUCGCCA